Molecule: ribosomal RNA, 643 nt
Filed under: uncultured Propionibacterium sp.
Lineage: Bacteria; Bacillati; Actinomycetota; Actinomycetes; Propionibacteriales; Propionibacteriaceae
Description: partial 16S ribosomal RNA
Source: RNAcentral
CUCCCCAGGCGGGGUACUUAAAGCGUUAGCUACGGCGCGGAACCCGUGGAAUGGACCCCACACCUAGUACCCACCGUUUACAGCGUGGACUACCAGGGUAUCUAAGCCUGUUCGCUCCCCACGCUUUCGCUCCUCAGCGUCAGGAAAGGCCCAGAGAACCGCCUUCGCCACUGGUGUUCCUCCUGAUAUCUGCGCAUUCCACCGCUCCACCAGGAAUUCCAUUCUCCCCUACCUUCCUCAAGUCAACCCGUAUCGAAAGCACGCUCAGGGUUAAGCCCCAAGAUUACACUUCCGACGCGAUCAACCACCUACGAGCCCUUUACGCCCAAUAAAUCCGGACAACGCUCGCACCCUACGUAUCACCGCGGCUGCUGGCACGUAGUUAGCCGGUGCUUCUUUACCCAUUACCGUCACUCACGCUUCGUCACAGGCGAAAGCGGUUUACAACCCGAAGGCCGUCAUCCCGCACGCGGCGUUGCUGCAUCAGGCUUCCGCCCAUUGUGCAAUAUUCCCCACUGCUGCCUCCCGUAGGAGUCUGGGCCGUAUCUCAGUCCCAAUGUGGCCGGUCACCCUCUCAGGCCGGCUACCCGUCAAAGCCUUGGUAAGCCACUACCCCACCAACAAGCUGAUAAGCCGCGAGUCC